This 242-nucleotide long non-coding RNA is filed under the name Nicotiana benthamiana. RNAcentral's name for it is "long non-coding RNA (NBEN_LNC001120)". The record is from RNAcentral. Lineage: Eukaryota; Viridiplantae; Streptophyta; Magnoliopsida; Solanales; Solanaceae.
CCAUCCUCUGCCGCGGCCACUAUCCCUCCAACCGAUUACGGAGAACAGAGGCGUGCACACGUACUAUAAUGGAAUACGCAAAAGAUGCAAGCUAGGAAUCGACAGAGUAGACCACACACAUGAUGUUUAGCUAGAAAAUAUAAAAGGGUGUACAGAGUAAACAAGAGGUCGGGAGGUAUUAACUCCCGAUGGAAAAACCUGGAAGUAUGCUUUGAUUCGCCCGAUAUCAACUACCGCUAGCU